AUGGAUUACGUUAAUGAUCUGUACAAGUUCUAUAAAGUUGCCGAGAAUGAGCGUCGCCCCCGCGACUACAUUCACUCCCAGGUGCAUCUCAGCUCCAAGAUGCAGGCCAUCCUCGUCGACUGGAUAAUAGAAGUGCAUGACGAGUUUGAUCUCAUGCCGGAGACCCUCUACCUUACGGCGUACAUCAUCGACCGGUAUCUCACGAAGCAGCUCGUGCUUCGGAGGGAGCUUCAGCUGGUAGGCGUGUCAGCCCUGCUGAUUGCUUGCAAGUACGAGGAGGUGAUGUUUCCACAGGUGAGGGAUUUGGUCUGUAUAACAGACAAUGCCUACUCCAGGAAGCAGAUACUGAGGAUGGAGAAAGCCAUUCUCAAUCGGCUUGGAUGGAACCUGACAGUUCCUACACCUUAUGUGUUCCUUGCGCGCUUUGCCAUGGCUGCGUCUUACUUCAAUUUGAAGAACUAUUGGGAGAUGAUGAACAUGGUGUCCUUUUUUGCUGAACUGGCACUGAUGCAAUAUGCGCUGGUGCCGUCCAAGCCCUCCAUGGUUGCUGCUGCUGCUGUCUAUGCAGCCAGGCUCACACUCAAGAAGACCGAUCCAUGGACUCGCACUCUCAAACACUAUACUGGCUUUACUGAAUCACAGCUAAUAUAUAGUGCAAAGAUCCUGGUCACCGCACACUCGACUGCCCCUCAGAGCAAGUUGCAGGUGGUGUAUAAGAAGUAUUCUAGCAAAAAAUUGGGAGGAGUGGCCCUGCGCCCACCUGCAAUCAACUUC
RNAcentral lists this ribosomal RNA (774 nucleotides) under Triticum aestivum (bread wheat). Its description in RNAcentral is "partial small subunit ribosomal RNA". Lineage: Eukaryota; Viridiplantae; Streptophyta; Magnoliopsida; Poales; Poaceae. The record is from RNAcentral.